This 192-nucleotide ribosomal RNA is filed under the name Encephalitozoon pogonae. RNAcentral describes it as "partial large subunit ribosomal RNA". It matches the Rfam family "Archaeal large subunit ribosomal RNA", at positions 1 to 238 of the family's 2987-position model. The record is from RNAcentral. Lineage: Eukaryota; Fungi; Microsporidia; Unikaryonidae.
UUAUUUAUUCUCUGUUCACGGGAUUGAUUGGCAUUAGCGGCGAUGAAGGACGUGGAGGACGACGAUAUGCGUUGUUGUUGCGACGGUGUCUGAAUUGUGUGCGUGAGUGCAUGAGGACCCCUUUGACUUAAGCAUAUCAGUGGAGGGAGGAGAAGAAACCAAAUGGGAUUGUUUGAGUAGCGGGCGAGUGAA